This 72-nucleotide transfer RNA is filed under the name Camelus bactrianus (Bactrian camel). It matches the Rfam family "tRNA". From Rfam's summary of the family: Transfer RNA (tRNA) molecules are approximately 80 nucleotides in length. Their secondary structure includes four short double-helical elements and three loops (D, anti-codon, and T loops). The record is from Rfam by way of RNAcentral. RNAcentral also lists the same sequence under 2 other names. Lineage: Eukaryota; Metazoa; Chordata; Mammalia; Artiodactyla; Camelidae.
GAGGGUAUAGCUUAGUGUUAGAGCCUGUGCUUAGCAUGUACAAGGUCCUGGGUUCAAUCCCCAGCACUUCCA